AAAAAAAAAGAAAAUGAAUAACGAAAAGACAGCCGUCCAAAAAAACAAAAAACAAAAAGAGAAAAAUAAAUGUUGUCUUCUAUCUCCAAAUUCGGAUCUGCUAUCGAUUUGUUUGAGGUGAAUGAAAUCUAGCUUUUGCUUAACAACAAUUCCUGCUUGGAUGGCAAUCGAAGAACUUUCUUUAUCAUAAGAUGGGACUUAUAAAGUUUACGCACAACGACUUCGAUUUCGUCGAUAUAGAAGACAGUGAAAUUCUAAUCAUGAUAUAUUUUAGAUAAGUACAUAUAAUCAAUUGAAGUUUCUUAUUGAAUAAAACAUUAGAUUUUAUAGUUUAUAUCUGAAUCUGACAUUAUUCUUUAACGCAGAUAUAACUUGAAGAUUAAUCAUUUCAAAACUCUCUGCUUUGAACUACGUCGGCUACGCUUAAUAAAAAAAACCUCCAUACUAUCGAUUCAUCUUCUGAGGUUUCGGAGUCAUGACAAUCACUACUGCUGGUGCAUUGUGUUCUUUCCAGUUGUUUGAAGGUGAUCGCAUAUAUUGUUUCCGCUUGCAAGAUGAUUUCUUUGCUGAUUAGGUUUCCACUGCCUAGCAAGCUUCUUAACAAAUCGUAAAGAAGUGUUCCGCCUUGUAAUCGACAAACCUUGUUUUACUCCUCCUAUUACUCACGUUUAUUGAAAUACAUUUGAAAUGGGUUAAUCAUUCAGAUAUAAGAUAAUUGAAUACUACCAAA
Molecule: long non-coding RNA, 730 nt
Organism: Capsella rubella
Lineage: Eukaryota; Viridiplantae; Streptophyta; Magnoliopsida; Brassicales; Brassicaceae
Exons: 4
Source: RefSeq, a predicted model, not a curated record